AUUUGGAAAUUGUGCUUCGAAGGUUUUCCGUUAUAUUGCCGAUUUUUCGUAAUCGGCCGAAUAACACUGUCAGUUGAAUCCCCCGAAGUGCGUGGAAUGGUCCAUUUUCAGUUUCUUCAUUGGAUUUCGGAUUAAAAACAAUCCUUUUAAAACAAUAAUUCGCAUUCAUCUCUAUAAUAUAAAUAAAUCUAAUCCAUGCGUAUGCAAACUAGCUAUGGAAUCUACCAACAUUACAACAUGUUUAUCAAUGAUGUAUGAUACCCUAGCAUGACAAUAGCCUGCUCUAAGGAAUUGCUAAGAGUAAGAUGGCGGACGACGAAAAGGACCCGAUAGGGGAAUCGGAUCAGCAAAACGUCGUUGAAAAGGAUAUUUUUGUUAAUGGCGAUGCAGACGAUAAACACGAGGAGAGUGAACCAGAACCGUGCAGUUCACUAAAUAUUCCCGAGCAGGUUUUACCUCGACGCAGCAGCCUGAUGAACAAGGAUGGAGCUGGGAGACGUCCUCAGCGGAAGAAGACUGUAUCUUUCAGUAGCAUGCCUACUGAACGGAAAAUAGCAACCGCUCAAGACUGUUUGGCGUACAUGCAGACCGGAAGUGACUUGAUAAAGGUUCGCUCCAACAGUCGGCAGUAUCACCGCUUCUUCACGCUUGGCAGCGACAUGACUGAGAUUCGAUGGCAGCCCACGUCGAAGAAACCGCACAAGGCUCGCAUUGCUGUGAAUACCAUAAAGGAAGCAAGGCAGGGUAAAACGACGGACGCGUUACGGAAUAAGGAGAUUGCGGGAAUUUACCCCGACGAGUGCGCAUUCUCGAUAAUAUUCGGGGAGGAGUUUGAGUCGAUGGAUUUGAUUGCCAACACGCCAGAUGAGGCCAACAUCUGGGUGACCGGUCUCACCUGUCUCAUCAACGCCAACACCAAGUCUAACUGUUCAAAUGCAAUAGAAGAAAUGCAACAAAUGAGAAAUUCGUGGUUGCUAGAACUGUUUGAGAAGGCCGACUCACUCAACUCCGGGGUCCUUGAUGAAAACGAAGUCGUUAACCUGAUGCGUAAAAUCAACGCAACCGUCACCAUACCAGUCAUAUACCAGAAGUUAAAGGAGUUGGAAAUUAAGCGUGGUGAUGGUAAACGAGGUCGACUAACGAGUGAUGAAUUCAUAUCUCUUUUCAAGGAGAUCUCGACACGGCCAGAAAUCUAUUUUCUUCUUGUUAGGUACGCAAGCAAUGCAGAUUAUAUGUCAACAGACGACUUGUUACUAUUUUUAGAAGCAGAGCAAGGGAUGCAAAGAGUGACGAAAGACAAAUGUCUGGAAAUAAUCAACAAUUUCGAACCCUCCAAAGAAGGAAGAAGAAAAGGACAGCUUGGAAUAGACGGAUUUACUGCAUACCUGCUGUCUACAGAAUGUGAUAUUUUUGACAUGGAACAUAAAACAGUGUGCCAAGAUAUGACCCAGCCCCUGAAUCACUACUUUAUAGCAAGUUCUCAUAACACGUACUUGUUAGAGGAUCAGCUGAAAGGCCCGUCUAGCGUCGACGGUUACAUAAGUGCUCUGAGGAAGGGAUGUCGGUGUGUCGAAUUGGACUGCUGGGAUGGUCCGAACGACGAGCCGAUCAUCUACCACGGUCACACGCUGACGUCCAAGAUCUCCUUCAGAUCAGUUGUGGAGGCCAUCAAACAAUACGCUUUCGAAGUCUCUGACUAUCCUGUGAUAAUAUCGAUAGAAAACCAUUGUAAUAUCAAACAGCAGCAGGUUAUGGCGGCCUGUCUGAAGGAGAUCCUGGGUGACAAGCUCUGCGUGGAACCCAUCCCAGAAAACUUACAGUGUGCCCCCUCACCUGAAGAUAUGAAAAGUAAAAUACUGAUCAAGGGGAAGAAACUCCCUAUAAACUCGGACUGCAACGAGGGCUAUGUGACGGACGAGGAUGAGGGGGCCGAACCCGAUAAGAAGAAAAGCAAUAAGAGGGAAGGCUCGGUGAAGAAGCAGAAACUGGCCAAGGAGUUGUCUGACAUGGUGAACUACUGUGUGUCGAGGAGGUUUGAAGAUUUCCAGAUCUCGCAGCAACACCAAAAGUUUUGGGAGAUGUGUUCCUUCAGCGAGUCCCAGGCCCUGAAACUGGCGAUGUCGUGUCCGGAGGAAUUUGUCAACCACAACAAGCACUUCCUGUCUCGAAUCUACCCGAACGCCAUGCGUAUCGACUCCAGUAACUACAACCCUCACGACCUCUGGAACUGUGGAUGUCAAAUGGUGGCAUUAAACUACCAAACAGCCGGUCUGAUGAUGGAUCUGUACGACGGCUGGUUCAAUAAGAACGGAGGCUGCGGCUACGUGUUGAAACCCGCCAUAAUGCGAGAGGAAAUCGCCUACUUCAGUGCGAACACACGGGACGUUAUUCCCGGAGUGUCACCACAGAUUCUUCAUAUCAAGAUAAUCAGUGGUCAGAACUUCCCUAAGCCGAAGGGUUCGGCCUCGAAGGGCGACGUCACAGACCCGUACAUACGGAUAGAGAUCUUUGGGAUCCCUGCAGACUGCGCAGAGGAGAGGACGAAAACCAUGCCACAUAACGGCUAUAACCCAAUAUUUGAUAUGAGUUUUGAGUUUCAAGUGAACCUUCCAGAGCUGGCUCUUGUUCGUUUCGCUGUUCUAGAUGACGAAUAUAUAGGAGACGAAUUCAUUGGGCAAUACACCAUUCCCUUUGACAGUAUGUUGACAGGUUACCGACACAUACGACUGUUAUCUAACACCGGGACACCUCUCUCCAACUGUACUCUGUUUGUCCACGUCUCAAUAACCAACAAACGAGGAGGAGGGUCUUCCAAGAGAGGUUUGUCGAAGAAGACGAAGCGAUCCCGAGAUUACACCAGUAUGAAGUCCAUCGGAGUGAAGAGCAUCGAUGAAACAUUCAAAGUUGCUAUUCAGCCGUUACGAGAAGGAACCGAUCUCCGUGACAACGUUCAGUUCGCUCUGUCCAAUUUCAAAGAGAAAUGUGGUCUGUCUCCUAUCGCUAACAUCAAACAGUGCAUCCGUCUCCUAGCAACGCGGAUACACCACACUGUAGAGCACGUCACACUGACGUACAUAAUGAGAGGCGAUGUAAGCACUGUUAGAUUUGUUAAGUGUAAACAGUGGCAGGGGUGUUUUUAGAGUGUCAAAAUAUGGACCCUCAAAAUGGCAGACUUGCGUUGUUGUCUCGCAUUUACGAAAUUAAAAGUUAUGCAAAAAUAAUUUUACUUUUCUAACAGCGGUGGUGACACGGUCAACUUUUUUAACAGCGGUGGUGACACGGUCAACUUUUUUAACAGCGGUGGUGACACGGUCAACUUUUCUAACAGCGGUGGUGACACGGUCAACUUUUCUAACAGCGGUGGUGACACGGUCAACUCUUGCUAUCCAUCACUGGAAGCUCAAGGCACACUGCCGGAGAUUCACAAGAAAGCGUUGCUGUCGUUUGACGAUUUCAUAAAUGAAUGCAAAGUACUAAUUGAGACGUCAGACCUUGUUUAUG
Molecule: unclassified non-coding RNA, 3501 nt
Filed under: Gigantopelta aegis
Lineage: Eukaryota; Metazoa; Mollusca; Gastropoda; Neomphalida; Peltospiridae
Description: inactive phospholipase C-like protein 2, transcript variant X2
Source: RNAcentral